RNAcentral lists this ribosomal RNA (253 nucleotides) under uncultured bacterium. RNAcentral's name for it is "partial 16S ribosomal RNA". It matches the Rfam family "Bacterial small subunit ribosomal RNA", at positions 524 to 776 of the family's 1533-position model. The record is from RNAcentral.
UACGGAGGGUGCAAGCGUUAUCCGGAUUUACUGGGGUUAAAGGGUGCGCAGGCGGAUAUGUAAGUCAGUGGUGAAAUCUCCGGGCUUAACCCGGAAACUGCCGUUGAUACUAUAUAUCUUGAAUGCUGUGGAGGUAAGCAGAAUAUGUCAUGUAGCGGUGAAAUGCUUAGAGAUGACAUAGAAUACCUAUUGCGAAGGCAGCUUACUACGCAGAUAUUGACGCUCAUGCACGAAAGCGUGGGGAUCAAACAGG